AAAUGUUGCCUUCCACUGAGUCCAUUUUCCAAACAGACCUUGAUCAGUCUAGCUCCCCCAAGGCCUCAGCCUUCUGCGCUAUGGGGGCUGGCUCCUGAGGACAUGGACACAUCUGUAACCAAACCGGUAUGUUGGAGGCAGAGAGUGAGUGGUGUGCUCGGCAGUGCUGAACACUGGAACCUGUGUUCUGCUGAAGGGGGGAGCAUUCAGAAGUGGCAGCGUCUGCAGAGAGAGCUCUUUCAGAAUUGAGCAGCUUCCUCCCACCAAACUCAAGGUGCUGAUUUCCAAAACAAAAAACAAAACAAAACAAAACAAAACAAAAAAACAACUGCCAAUGGCUAUGCUCUGUGGAGCAGGACAUCCCCACAGGUGACUCCUAUCACACUCUAUCCGGCAUCCCAUAGACUGUACACUCCUAUGGGAGCAGGGACCCCCAGCUAUUUUGCUCAAUCUUUUUUUCCCACAUCACUGAGCUCAGAACCUGGAAAUCCCCAAUAAGUACUUGCUGAAUGAAUACAUAAAUGAACCAUAUCCAGAAGCUAAUGGGGAACUACAAAAAGAAGUUAUAUAAACUAGUGACAUGUUCUUUCCUUUCUUUAUUACUUCACCUGGAAACAUAAUUCUGGUAGCAGUGGGGACAUGGAUCAAAGAAUAAUUGAGUUAACGUGGCCAUGCAGGAGGGUAUUGUAAUAAUUCGAGGACUGAUAAGGGUGUAAAAUAAGGUGAUGCAAAGGAUACUACAGGUGGGUAGUUUUGAUGACUGAUUGGGUAUAAGCUGGGGAGUGAUGGACUGAAAGAAGUUGAGGAUUGCUUUCUGAGUUCUGCUUUUGUAUUUCUGAUCAAAAUAAGGCAUGUGGAAUAAGAAACAGUUUCUAAAGGAAUACCAUGAGUCCAAUUUUGGAAAUGUUGUACUAAAUUUGUAAAAGUAUGGUGGGGAGACCCUCACUGGGCACUCAUUGCAUGAGGUCUGGAACUGACACAGUAGACAUUAUUGCUGACUCCCAACACCUAUUCCACUCCUCUCUCAAUGUGACUUGGGAAAUUGACUUCUCAAAGAUGGGCCUUAGUGAUAUAAAAGUACUGAUCUAUAAGUAAUCUUACUUGCCAGUAACUGGUUCAGGACUAGGCAUGUGAUCUGAUUUCCUAUAAGUGAAAGUCACAAGAGGCUUCUGGGAAAGGUGUGAGAAUCCAGGUUUUCUCUCCUCCAGUGGAUUUCGAUGAGGAAGCCUGCAGUCCUGGUGAUCCUGACAACUUCCCUACAGCUGCAAAGGUACCCAGACACAGGAUUAGGUCAACCCUGUGGACAGCAGAGUGGAGACAGAGAGAAUCUGUUUCCUUGAGGACAUUGUUGAGUCUGUGUAGCAGCCAUCCUGGAAGCUUAUACCACUUCUGGACUGUGUCUUCCAGGAGCAUUUCUGUAUCUUUUGUGAUCAUUUGGGUGUGGAUUUUGUUAACAACAAUUGAAAAUAUCUUAACUGAAACAGCUACAGGUAUACAUUUUGUGGUCACCAGACAGUGGGGAACAGGUAAAGCCAGGGAAUUUAAAGAGAUUACCUGGGGAGAGUGAAAAAAGGAUGGUGUUCUGGGCACCUUACACUUAUGAUUGGAUCCAAUUCUGAAUUCUAGCCAAUGACUCAAGAUUAUUUUGUUUUUGCUUUUAGUCAAACAGUCUCCCUGAGUUUAUCCUUCGACAGGUAGGCUUAUGACCCUAACCAUUCUUAAAAUCACUUAACCUUUCUGUGUUUCAAUGAGCUCAACUGUGAAUUAGGGGUAUACAUUCAGCCUGUCUAUCCAGAUGGGCAGACUCAGGUUUUCUUAAAAUUCCAAGCAUACACAAUCUUGAGAGGCUCUCUUAAAAAUUGGGUACAGAGCCUUGGAAGGAACAAGUGCUCAUAAGAAACCCUAAAACUUCAAGGUAGAUCUUCCUCUGCUUGACUUCAGGGUUACUGUGUGGAGUGAGUGAGACAAAACAUGUGAUGUGCUUGGCACAUGUUAACUGCUCAAUAAAGUUUAGCUGGCAUGAUUGAGGAUAAUUUAAUACACAAUUUAGAUGUAGAUGAUAGAGGUACACAAAUAUAUACACUUAUUGAACUUUUACAUUGCUAGUUUUAGCUGUGCCCAUCACUUCUGAGCAGAGUGCUUCCCCUCACUCUGUCCGUAGGGCCGACUUAGCCGCCGUGGGCAACAGAGUCUUGAUUCACAAUACUUUUAGGAGCACGCAAAAAUGUUUCUAUGUCUUUUAAAGUCAGAAGAAAAAAACUUUUAGGUUGAAAAACACUUUAAUACACAAUAGAAGUAUUUUCAUCUUUAUCCCAAUGUAGUAGCGAAAUCUAAUCUUUAAUAUUUUCUUAGGAAGAGCCCACAGAACAAAAGUUCCCAGGGCUCACAAAAGUCUGAAUGCAACUCUGCUGUCUAAUUCUCCCAUUUGUGUUGCUUUUUUUUCUCUUUCCAUUAUUUUCCCACCUUCAUCUCUUUCCAGCCCCUCCCUAUGCUUUACCAUUUACUUAUUAUUAUUCUCCCACCUCUAACAUUUUGUGGCCUAUAUGCAUAUGACUCUUAAAAUGAAAAAAUAAAAACCCAGCAUUUUCCUUGGGUUAACUUUUCUUUCCUGUCUCAGCUGUUUAAUUCUGCAGGUUAUCAAUUUACAGAGUGAAGACACAUAAUCCCUUUUAGAAUGAAAGACUAAGAAUAGAGAGUUUGAGACACACCUUCUGAAACAGCAGCUUCUUGAAAACCCGAUUCCCAGCAGAGUGUUGCUGCUCUGCAUUUUUCACACUGGAACGUGGUGAAAACGAUGAACAUUAAUUAGGAUUACAGAGACUCAGAGGCUUACCGCGCUAUGACAGCUUAGAAGAAAGAAUGACACUUCUAUUUUUUGGAUGCAAGUCUAAGUGUCAUGUGUGUUUUAAUUCUUGGGCUCAAGCCAAGUUACUAUAGCGGUGAGAUGCAGACUAUUAUUUUUAGGUCAUAUUAUGUAGGGGUGUAGACUAUUAUUUUAGAUUAAGAGGGAGGUGGGUUUGGCUGAUUUUAGAUGAUCAAGUUUCCUAUUAUGAACCUUCCUUCAAAAACUAAUUUUGAAAUGUUAUCAUUUAUAGUUUAUGCUUAUAAAGAACUUAAUGUUGGAAGCAUUCCUUAGUUCAAGGAGAUUUCACGCCUGAGUAAUUUUCAAGUUUUAUUGUUUUCCAGCUUACUUGCCUUACUUAGGAUCCCCACUGCUUCUUACAUUUCAUAAAUAAAUGAGUUAAAGAAAAAAGCAGACACGACAAAAACAAACCAAUGCUUAACUCCCUCUUCCAACAACCCCAUGUCCUAAGGGAGAUAUACAUAAAAUAAGAAAUAAAGUGGAGUCACCCCUUUCAUGACAGAAACCUCUUUCCUCAAAAACGUCUGGCUUUCUUAAAUCCAUUCCUGGUUUUAACCAAAGAGAAAGUUGCACUAGGAAAUAUGAUGGAUUGGUCACUUCUAGGCCAUCAUUUGGGAGGAAAUUGCCACAGAAUUUGCAUGACAGAAUAGAAAAUUGGUACAAGUAAAUUAAUGACUGUAUUCACAGAUGUAAAAGGGAAUAGGAAAAUAUUACAAUGGGGAGUAAAAUUAAAUCUUCAGGGGGAAUCAAAGUAUCAUGGAAAAACAAGAUAUGAGCAUUGUCUUUUUAUGUGUUAGGAAUUGAAAUGUUAAGUUUGAGAAAAUCUGUGCCAUGUAGCAACUGGAACACGGCAGUAUAGGUACUGCAGCUAACGAAGAGACAGAUGCUGCAUAAUGAAAAAGGAACAGGAGUCAGAUAGACAGAAAAAUAGUUCGGAGAUACAGAUUAUUUAGAAAUUAUUUAAAUAUAUUAGAAAGAAGGAGAUGGUAAAAUAAUCAAAUGCAGAGCAAUAAAGCAGGGGAAACACCAUAAGAGAUGAAGAAGGAGACAAAACAAUUCGACAAGAGAGAAAAGAUGAAGAGGUAGAAUGAGAGCAAGCACUAGGCAUUGGUUCUGUAAUGACCUGUUUCUCAUGAAAAAUGCAUUAUCCUAGAGGGGAAUGAUUUUUCUCCUCCCUCACAAUACUUUGAUUUGUGUGUCUACAACACACCAAGCCCACUGGGAUGCUGCCAAUGGAUUCAGAGCUUCCAGAAUCAUCAACCAGAGACUGCUGUUCCAGACACCAAAUGCAGUGUAAAUAAUUAAAUAUCAAUGCAAGUCAACUAACAUUUACUGAGUGUGGUCUCCCAGAAUGAAGCACACAUCCACAUUCUGACAGAAGUUUAAGGUCUU
Phyllostomus discolor (pale spear-nosed bat) is the source of this 4255-nucleotide long non-coding RNA. RefSeq lists it as uncharacterized. NCBI's taxonomy places the organism in Eukaryota, Metazoa, Chordata, Mammalia, Chiroptera, Phyllostomidae. The record is from RefSeq and is a predicted model, not a curated record. The transcript is spliced from 4 exons.